UGGGGAAUAUUGGACAAUGGGCGCAAGCCUGAUCCAGCCAUGCCGCGUGUGUGAAGAAGGCCUUUUGGUUGUAAAGCACUUUAAGCGAGGAGGAGGCUACUUGGAUUAAUACUCUAGGAUAGUGGACGUUACUCGCAGAAUAAGCACCGGCUAACUCUGUGUCAGCAGCCGCGGUAAUACAGAGGGUGCGAGCGUUAAUCGGAUUUACUGGGCGUAAAGCGUGCGUAGGCGGCUUUUUAAGUCGGAUGUGAAAUCCCUGAGCUUAACUUAGGAAUUGCAUUCGAUACUGGGAAGCUAGAGUAUGGGAGAGGAUGGUAGAAUUCCAGGUGUAGCGGUGAAAUGCGUAGAGAUCUGGAGGAAUACCGAUGGCGAAGGCAGCCAUCUGGCCUAAUACUGACGCUGAGGUACGAAAGCAUGGGGAGCAAACAGG
RNAcentral lists this ribosomal RNA (430 nucleotides) under bacterium. RNAcentral describes it as "partial 16S ribosomal RNA". It matches the Rfam family "Bacterial small subunit ribosomal RNA", at positions 355 to 776 of the family's 1533-position model. The record is from RNAcentral.